AACAUGCCAGCUGGCCCUAUAAGCUCUCAAAUAAAAUACAACUAGCAUCCAUGCUUAAGCGGCUGAGGGUGAAAAGGAAAGGGCCUGAGGCUGUUAGGAAUGCUGGGAGUUGGAGUCCAAAACACCUGGAGGGCCCAAGUUUGCCCAUUGCUAUUUGCCUUGCAUUUGCAGAGAUUCUGCUUCAUAAAAGCAGAUGACUUGCUGCCACGCACAGUAUAGUACUUUUGAAGAAAAAUGAACAUUGCCACUAGGUGGGAGCACAAGAUCAGAAAUGAAUCCUAUGAUGAUUCUGUACAAGUUGGGCAGGCUUUUGCAAAGGUCGAUGCACAGAACCCGAGCAUCAGAUCUUCCUGCCUGUAUUUGAGCAAAACUUGCAUUAGACAAAUUCAAAGUUCGCAAAACUUAAAUUUCUAAAUGGCUUUGAAAAAACUGAGUGGUAUGUAGAAUGCAGUGGAUCCUGCCUGUUCUUAGCUUUAAGGUAGGAAAAGAGCAUAACUGAUGAAGGCACGUGUAGAUGAAGGUGGUUUGUGGUGGACUCAGAUCGGUAUCAGAAGGUCUCCUUCAGCCACGCCUGGUGGGUGUUGGAAGAGCUACACAAGGCAGAACAUCCUUCUCAGCUCAGCAGAAGGAAUGGCAUCUGCUCUGAAUGGCCACUUGAAGAUGAUCUCCAUAUUUUUCUUCCUCUUCGGUUUUGCCUUUAGCCAGGUUUUCCAACCCGACCAGCUCCUCUAUGUAGAAGGAGACAAGAUUGAGAUCAUCUGCAAUCAAAAUGCAACUAGCCAUGACGCUAUGUUCUGGUACAAGCAGACAUCCCAGUGGGAUGGUGGCCAACUCUCUUUCUUGGGAAGCGGUUUUGAAGAGGACUCUCUUCCAGCUGGAGAUUUCCUAAUAGAUGUCGUCAAAAAAUCUCGCCUCACCAAGCUGACCAGAGAGGGAGCAAGGCUGAGUGAUGCUGGUGUCUAUUUCUGCGCUGUGAGGGACACAGUGAAAGGAAACCAGGUGUUGUCAACACAAAAGCCAUUGUUAAGUUCGGCUCAGAGGCGUGAAUGGUGGAUAUACACCUGUUGUUCUUAUGAUCAAUGGUGCUUGUCAUUAUUUUUCUCCUCCUUUUCCAUGUGGCAAUACAGUCAUCUCUCCACAUCUGCUGGAGUUAGGACCUCCAGAAGGUGA
This 1170-nucleotide long non-coding RNA is filed under the name Anolis carolinensis (green anole). RNAcentral's name for it is "lncRNA (ENSACAG00000039253.1)". Lineage: Eukaryota; Metazoa; Chordata; Lepidosauria; Squamata; Anolidae. The record is from RNAcentral.